AUGCUUCAUAGCAUUCAAGAAUGGACUAUUCAACAUGCACAGCAAACGGAGCAUGUUCAUUGGUUCAUGGACCUCCCUGAACUACUGGCAUUUAUUGCAAUUGUCAUCUUGCGGGGGGUUACUAGGGUUCCAUCACUACGUGACUGCUGGUCAGCAAACCUGGGAAACCCACAGAUCAUUGGAACUAUGCCGCGAAACAGCUUCCAAGACAUCAUGCAACACCUAUGCUUUGAUGACAGGUCCACCCGCAGUGAUCGAGCAAAGACUGAUAAGUUCGCUGCAAUUUCCAGGGUGCGGGGAUCAUUUGUCACCAACUGCAUCACGUGCUACAACCCUGGUCUACAUAUCACCGUUGAUGAACAGCUCUUCCCAUCAAAGACUCAGUGCUGUUUCCUGCAGUAUAUUGCAAGUAAACCUGACAAGUUUGGGAUCAAGUUUUGGUUGGCUUGCGACCUAAAAUCCAAGUACAUUUGCAAUGUCUUCCCAUAUCUUGGCAAGGACCCCAAUCGUCCCAGUGGGGAGAGACUGUCUGAAAAUGUAGUGAUGAGGCUGAUGGAACCAUUCCUAGACAAGGGCAGAAAUGUUACCACGGACAAUUUCUUCACAUCGCUUUCACUUGCGCAAAAACUAGACGGAAAACCACCAUCCUCGGCACAGUCAACAAGAUUCGCCGGGAAAUUCCUCAAUCCGCUAGACACACAGAUCGCAAUGAAUUCACCACUCAGGUGUUUUCAACCUCUGCUGCCACGCUGACGGUGUAUGCGGCCAAACGGAAGAAGACAGUCUAUAUUCUUAGCAGCAUGCACAGCGUGGUUCAGACUGAUAAUACCACCAAAAGGAAGCCAAACACUGUCACCCUUUACAACACCACAAAGUGUGGCGUGGAUGUGAUGGACCAGAUGGUGCGGGAGUACACUGUCCGCAGAGGAACAUGGCGCUGGCCAGUUGCCGUGUUCUAUAACAUGAUUGACAUGGCAGCACUAAAUGCACAUGUGCUGUAUCAAGCAUGCACCGGGACGCAGGAAAGACGGGUGGACUUCCUGGUGGAGCUUGCAAGAGAGUUGGCUAACUCUCAUAUGGCUGGGUAGAAGGCAAGAAAAGAACAGUUGCUUCGGACCCAACCCUCCACACCUCGCCCUGGAAAAAGAGCCACGUGUCAGGUCAAACACAAAUGCAAGAACAAUCAUGCCACUGUGCGAUGUGUUCACUGCUACAGAUACACAUGUGGUAAAUGCAGACUACAGAUACCAUGGCAAUGCCAGGAUUGUGAGUGAUUGCUGAAAAUGUUGAAAUGUACUCACUCACUUUUUAUUAUUAUUUGUAAAUAUGUGUACAAAUGUUUUUUUUGUUUGUUUGUUUUUUUGUACUGUUUUUAUCAAUAAAUCUUUUGGAGAUUUAUUUUCCUGGAUGAUUGAGAAUGCAUCAAGACGAACACACACACACACACACACACACACACACACAAACAAAGAGGCAGUUGGCAGUUAGAAAUCAGCAAUCAUUCACACACCCCCACUCCCCUCCAGAAUUCUCAGGUAACGACCUAAUUUACAUAUGAAUUGACGCUAAAAGACUAGCCAAUUUAGCUUCCAUUUGGCUGACAGAGGGUUAGAAAAGUCUGGGACUUCUAGUGUUAAAGAGCAG
Molecule: long non-coding RNA, 1644 nt
Organism: Oreochromis niloticus (Nile tilapia)
Lineage: Eukaryota; Metazoa; Chordata; Actinopteri; Cichliformes; Cichlidae
Source: Ensembl